This 225-nucleotide small nuclear RNA is filed under the name Heterocephalus glaber (naked mole-rat). RNAcentral's name for it is "7SK RNA". It matches the Rfam family "7SK RNA", at positions 83 to 331 of the family's 331-position model. Rfam says of the family: 7SK was discovered as an abundant small nuclear RNA in the mid-70s but a possible function has only recently been suggested. Two independent studies have found that 7SK RNA binds the CDK9/cyclin T complex (known as elongation factor P-TEFb). The record is from Rfam by way of RNAcentral. Lineage: Eukaryota; Metazoa; Chordata; Mammalia; Rodentia; Bathyergidae.
AGGUCCUUUUCUACCCCUCUAUGUGCAUCCCUCCUGAACCUGGGCUUCCUGUGGAAGAGAACGACCACCCCCAAUAAAGGAGGAGCAUUUCUUCAGUCAAGGGUAUAUGAGUAGCUGCACUGCCCCCAUUAGAACCUCCAAAGAAACACGCAAUUCUCACCUGUUUCGUAGCAUUAUUGCGUCUUUAUUCAUCUUCUUUUCAUCCUAAUUCCUGAAGCACUCUAG